UACAGAGGUCUCAAGCGUUGUUCGGAUUCAUUGGGCGUAAAGGGUGCGUAGGUCGCGUGGUAAGUCGGGUGUGAAAUCUCGGGGCUCAACCCCGAAACUGCAUUCAAUACUGCGAUGCUCGAGUACUGGAGAGGAGACUGGAAUUCAUGGUGUAGCAGUGAAAUGCGUAGAUAUCAUGAGGAAGGCCAGUGGCGAAGGCGGGUCUCUGGACAGUUACUGACGCUGAGGCACGAAGGCCAGGGGAGCAAACGGG
This 253-nucleotide ribosomal RNA is filed under the name uncultured bacterium. RNAcentral's name for it is "partial 16S ribosomal RNA". It matches the Rfam family "Bacterial small subunit ribosomal RNA", at positions 524 to 776 of the family's 1533-position model. The record is from RNAcentral.